Molecule: long non-coding RNA, 886 nt
Filed under: Theobroma cacao (cacao)
Lineage: Eukaryota; Viridiplantae; Streptophyta; Magnoliopsida; Malvales; Malvaceae
Description: long non-coding RNA (TCAC_LNC001986)
Source: RNAcentral
GACAAAUGUUGGAUUGGCAAUUGUUGAAUUAACAUAAAAAAAAAUUGAGGAACCUCCACUAUUCUAUGCACUUUGGACAAAAAUAACAAGAUUACAAGAGGAUAACCAGGCCUCCACACCCCAGCAGUAUUGCAGAAGAAGAAAAAAAUCUGCACUGUUUAAUCACCCCAGAUUUCCCAGCAACAACCCCAUCCAAUCCAACCGAAAGGUUAGCAUAACCUCAUCCAGUCAAUUAGAGGCCGACUAAACAACAAAACUCAAAAGUAGUUUAAGAGCCCCAUACAAACACAACAUCAUUCACAAUUUAACUCAAGGGCUCAUCAAAAACAGAAACAAAAGACUCCCGUACAAACGCAACCACAUUAAACAUAAUUCCCUAUACAGACGUUACCAGAUUAAGAAGAAUACCGCCCCUAAACAAUCUGCACGACCAGAAUCACCCUUGCACAGCCACGUUCAUUCAUCAGAAUAAUUCUCAUCAAUCGCCCACAGUCAUUGUUUUGGGUGUUGACGCUAAAACCUUUGGCACGAAUUGUCUCAACAUUACAGUCCCACUUGCUUCUUCUUCUUCUUCUUCUACUGAUGUUACUAUUAUCACUGCCUGCUUACUAGCUGAGAUGGCGGUGUAAAUGGGAGUGAGAGAAGGGGAAAAAUGGGAAAUGGAUGAGAUUAUUAUGGAGCUAGAUGUCGUUGUAGUGUGGGAAGAUGAACAAGGAAGAACAAGGGCAUGGUUGAGCUGCCAUUUCCAUUGCCGGUCUUUGCCUCAGCUGCUCGUUUCUUUCUUUGCUUUUUUGCCAAUUUUUUUUUAAUUAAGCAAUUGCCACGUCAGCUGUCUCACCACAUCAAUACAUAGUCAACAUCACUAGAGAUGUUAAUGUUACCGAAC